This 692-nucleotide ribosomal RNA is filed under the name uncultured Lachnospiraceae bacterium. RNAcentral's name for it is "bacterial SSU rRNA". It matches the Rfam family "Bacterial small subunit ribosomal RNA", at positions 51 to 740 of the family's 1533-position model. Lineage: Bacteria; Bacillati; Bacillota; Clostridia; Lachnospirales; Lachnospiraceae. The record is from RNAcentral.
ACACAUGCAAGUCGAACGAAGCACUUUAUUAUGAUUUCUUCGGAAUGACGAUUUAGUGACUGAGUGGCGGACGGGUGAGUAACGCGUGGGUAACCUGCCUUAUACAGGGGGAUAACAGUUAGAAAUGACUGCUAAUACCGCAUAAGCGCACAGGAUUGCAUGAUCUGGUGUGAAAAACUCCGGUGGUAUAAGAUGGACCCGCGUCUGAUUAGCUGGUUGGUGAGGUAACGGCCCACCAAGGCGACGAUCAGUAGCCGACCUGAGAGGGUGACCGGCCACAUUGGGACUGAGACACGGCCCAAACUCCUACGGGAGGCAGCAGUGGGGAGUAUUGCACAAUGGGGGAAACCCUGAUGCAGCGACGCCGCGUGAGCGAAGAAGUAUUUCGGUAUGUAAAGCUCUAUCAGCAGGGAAGAAAAAAUGACGGUACCUGACUAAGAAGCCCCGGCUAACUACGUGCCAGCAGCCGCGGUAAUACGUAGGGGGCAAGCGUUAUCCGGAUUUACUGGGUGUAAAGGGAGCGCAGGCGGUGCGGCAAGUCUGAUGUGAAAGCCCGGGGCUCAACCCCGGGACUGCAUUGGAAACUGUCGUACUUGAGUAUCGGAGAGGUAAGUGGAAUUCCUAGUGUAGCGGUGAAAUGCGUAGAUAUUAGGAGGAACGCCAGUGGCGAAGGCGGCUUACUGGACGAUAAC